UGCGAUCAGUAAUGUGAAUUGCAGAAUUCAGUGAAUCAUCGAAUCUUUGAACGCACAUUGCGCCCGCCAGUAUUCUGGCGGGCAUGCCUGUUCGAGCGUCAUUACAACCCUCAGGCCCCCGGGCCUGGCGUUGGGGAUCGGCGGAAGCCCCCUGCGGGCACAACGCCGUCCCCCAAAUACAGUGGCGGUCCCGCCGCAGCUUCCAUUGCGUAGUAGCUAACACCUCGCAACUGGAGAGCGGCGCGGCCACGCCGUAAAACACCCAACUUCUGAAUGUUGACCUCGAAUCAGGUAGGAAUACCCGCUGAACUUAAGC
RNAcentral lists this unclassified non-coding RNA (316 nucleotides) under plant metagenome. RNAcentral describes it as "partial contains 5.8S ribosomal RNA, internal transcribed spacer 2, and large subunit ribosomal RNA". The stretch from base 1 to 101 matches the Rfam family "5.8S ribosomal RNA", at positions 54 to 154 of the family's 154-position model. The record is from RNAcentral.